AUGGAGCUGCACCCUACCCUCUCCCCUCCCUCAACACACCCCCUCCCAUUAAUUAACUAUGUUCAGGAACCAGGCAAAAGCUUGGGUUUUGAUUGGCUUAAUAAUAAAGCACAAAGCAACCACGUCUCCCUGUGUAUUACUCUGAAUCACAGCAUCACCACUUCACAGGGCCCUCCUUCAUUGUGUGUGUUUGCUCCCAAGUCAAUGGCACUUUCUCUUGCAGAGCUGUUUUUCCCGAGGGUGAAUCCCUGGAUGGUGGCUCUGGGUGUGAUCCUGUCUCUCCUGGCUGUUCUUAUUGGCCUGGCCAGUUACAGCUUCUGGAGGCAAGACAGAGCAAAAGAGAAACUGCAGGGUGAACUCAGUAAGUUGCCUUUUAUUCCUAACAUAAAGCUUUCUACAAAGUUGUAUCGUAUUUGGAGUGUCUGUGUUCAGGAGAGGUCUCAUCUCUCUGUCUGUGUUUGGUUUCAGAGUGGAGAAUAGCCCUACCAAAUGCAGGUAAAUAAAUUUGUGUUUUUGCUAAUAGAUAGUUAUCA
This 533-nucleotide long non-coding RNA is filed under the name Gopherus agassizii (Agassiz's desert tortoise). RNAcentral's name for it is "lncRNA (ENSGAGG00000018071.1)". The record is from RNAcentral. Lineage: Eukaryota; Metazoa; Chordata; Testudines; Testudinidae.